RNAcentral lists this ribosomal RNA (491 nucleotides) under uncultured bacterium. RNAcentral's name for it is "bacterial SSU rRNA". It matches the Rfam family "Bacterial small subunit ribosomal RNA", at positions 30 to 518 of the family's 1533-position model. The record is from RNAcentral.
UGAACGCUGGCGGCGUGCUUAAUACAUGCAAGUCGAACGAAGCGCUACAGCCGAGUCCCUUCGGGUGAAGCAGUUGUGACUAGUGGCGGACGGGUGAGUAACGCGUGGGUAACCUGCCUUAUGCAGGGGGAUAACAGUUAGAAAUGACUGCUAAUACCGCAUAAGCGCACAGCACCGCAUGAUGCAGUGUGAAAAAGAUUUAUCGGCAUAAGAUGGACCCGCGUCUGAUUAGGUAGUUGGUGAGGUAACGGCCCACCAAGCCUGCGAUCAGUAGCCGACUUGAGAGAGCGAUCGGCCACAUUGGGACUGAGACACGGCCCAGACUCCUACGGGAGGCAGCAGUAGGGAAUAUUGCACAAUGGGGGAAACCCUGAUGCAGCGAACCGCCGCGUGAGUGAUUGAAGCAUUUCGGUGCGUAAAGCUCUAUCAGCAGGGAAGAUAAUGACGGUACCUGACUAAGAAGCCCCGGCUAACUACGUGCCAGCCGCUGC